RNAcentral lists this ribosomal RNA (281 nucleotides) under Neanthes sp. GF-18533_15435. RNAcentral describes it as "partial large subunit ribosomal RNA". It matches the Rfam family "Bacterial large subunit ribosomal RNA", at positions 1959 to 2496 of the family's 2925-position model. Lineage: Eukaryota; Metazoa; Annelida; Polychaeta; Phyllodocida; Nereididae. The record is from RNAcentral.
GCAUAAUCAUUUGCCUUUUAAUUGGAGGCUAGUAUGAAAGGAUAAACAAGAAUAUAGCUGUCUCUUAUAAUUAAUUAAAAACUAGAGUUCAGGUGAAGAUACCUGAAUAUUUAUAAAGGACAAGAAGACCCUACAGAGCUUUAUUAGAAAAAGACUAAAUCUUAUACUAAUUUGGUUGGGACAACCAAAAGACAUAAAGACCUCUUUAUACUUACUUUUUAUUUAACCUGAAAAGAUAAAAACGAAGCUACCUUAGGGAUAACAGGCUAAUCUUACUAAAG